AACGCAAAAGCACAAAGCCCGACUCCGGAGUGGCACUCGUGGGUGCUACCCAACCGGAUAUGCAAGCGUAUCUCUGCCGAGCUCAAUCAGACUCUCACAGGCUAUAGUCAAAGCAGAAGGGUCUAACUGGUCCUACAACGAAAACUCACGUACCCUCUGCACAAUCUAAUGCAAAAACAGCAAACCGGGUCCACCGUCAACCACAACGGCAUCCGACAGUCCGGAACAGUCUAUACACUACUGUAAAAAAAAACUCGGCAUCCCAGCACGAGUGUAAAUUCAUUCUACACUAUUCUGGAUAUCCACUGCCUACAAAUUGUGGCGAUACAAACAAACUACAGCUCCUAAAGCUAAAUCUGGUAGUUUUCAGAAAAUGACAGUGUAGAAGUUAUAGUUUUCUCCAAAGUCAAUUCUAAGUCCAACAUAAAAAAUUAUACUACUAGUUUAACUCCAAAUUCAGAUUUUAAGCCUAAUCCAUAAAUUCGAAUACUAGCAAAAAAAUAACACAUAAUAC
RNAcentral lists this long non-coding RNA (514 nucleotides) under Ananas comosus (pineapple). RNAcentral's name for it is "long non-coding RNA (ACOM_LNC008628)". The record is from RNAcentral. Lineage: Eukaryota; Viridiplantae; Streptophyta; Magnoliopsida; Poales; Bromeliaceae.